CAAUCUGCCGAGAAGUGGGGGAUAGCUCGCCGAAAGGCGAAUUAAUACCGCAUGUGAUGAGAGGCGACAUCGUCUUGAAAUCAAAGCCGGGGCAACCUGGCGCUUUUUGAGGAGCCCGCGGCCUAUCAGCUAGUUGGUGAGGUAACGGCCCACCAAGGCUUUGACGGGUAGCUGGUCUGAGAGGACGACCAGUCACACUGGAACUGAGACACGGUCCAG
RNAcentral lists this ribosomal RNA (219 nucleotides) under uncultured bacterium. RNAcentral describes it as "partial 16S ribosomal RNA". It matches the Rfam family "Bacterial small subunit ribosomal RNA", at positions 122 to 334 of the family's 1533-position model. The record is from RNAcentral.